Molecule: ribosomal RNA, 460 nt
Filed under: uncultured bacterium
Lineage: Bacteria
Description: partial 16S ribosomal RNA
Rfam family: Bacterial small subunit ribosomal RNA
Source: RNAcentral
CCUACGGGGGGCAGCAGUGAGGAAUAUUGGUCAAUGGGCGCAAGCCUGAACCAGCCAAGUCGCGUGAGGGAUGACGGUCCUAUGGAUUGUAAACCUCUUUUGUCGGGGAGCAAGGCCCGCCACGUGUGGCGGUAAGGAGAGUACCCGAAGAAAAAGCACGGGGUAACCCCGUGCCAGCAGCCGGGGUAAUACGGAGGAUGCGGGCGUUACCCGGUUUUAUGGGGUUUAAAGGGAGCGUAGGCGGACGGUUAAGUCAGCGGUAAAAUGUCGGUGCUCAACCCCGGCGGGCCGUUGAAACUGGUCUUCUUGAGUGAGCGAGAAGUAUGCGGAAUGCGUGGUGUAGCGGUGAAAUGCAUAGAUAUCACGCAGAACUCCGAUUGCGAAGGCAGCAUACCGGCGCUCAACUGACGCUGAGGCACGAAAGCGUGGGGAUCGAACAGGAUUAGAUACCCUGGUAGUC